This 301-nucleotide ribosomal RNA is filed under the name uncultured bacterium. RNAcentral's name for it is "partial 16S ribosomal RNA". It matches the Rfam family "Bacterial small subunit ribosomal RNA", at positions 509 to 808 of the family's 1533-position model. The record is from RNAcentral.
CAGCGCCGCGGUAAUACGGAGGGAGCUAGCGUUGUUCGGAAUUACUGGGCGUAAAGCGCACGUAGGCGGUUAUUCAAGUCAGAGGUGAAAGCCCGGGGCUCAACCCCGGAACUGCCUUUGAAACUAGAUGACUGGAAUCUUGGAGAGGUCAGUGGAAUUCCGAGUGUAGAGGUGAAAUUCGUAGAUAUUCGGAGGAACACCAGUGGCGAAGGCGACUGACUGGACAAGUAUUGACGCUGAGGUGCGAAAGCGUGGGGAGCAAACAGGAUUAGAUACCCCGGUAGUCCCUGUCUCUUAUACA